This 253-nucleotide ribosomal RNA is filed under the name uncultured bacterium. RNAcentral's name for it is "partial 16S ribosomal RNA". It matches the Rfam family "Bacterial small subunit ribosomal RNA", at positions 524 to 776 of the family's 1533-position model. The record is from RNAcentral.
UACGAAGGGGGCUAGCGUUGUUCGGAAUUACUGGGCGUAAAGCGCACGUAGGCGGACAUUUAAGUCAGGGGUGAAAUCCCGGGGCUCAACCCCGGAACGGCCUUUGAUACUGGGUGUCUUGAGUUCGGAAGAGGUGAGUGGAAUUGCGAGUGUAGAGGUGAAAUUCGUAGAUAUUCGCAGGAACACCAGUGGCGAAGGCGGCUCACUGGACUGGUAUUGACGCUGAGGCACGAAGGUCAGGGGAGCAAACGGG